Molecule: unclassified non-coding RNA, 300 nt
Filed under: uncultured Chaetomiaceae
Lineage: Eukaryota; Fungi; Ascomycota; Sordariomycetes; Sordariales
Description: sequence contains 5.8S rRNA gene, ITS2
Rfam family: 5.8S ribosomal RNA (bases 1-72)
Source: RNAcentral
GGUGAGUCAUCGAAUCUUUGAACGCACAUUGCGCCCGCCAGUAUUCUGGCGGGCAUGCCUGUCCGAGCGUCAUUUCAACCAUCAAGCCCCCGGCUUGUGUUGGGGACCUGCGGCACACCCGCAGGCCCUGAAAACCAGUGGCGGGCUCGCUGUCCACACCGAGCGUAGUAGCAUAUCUUUGUCUCGCUCAGGGCGUGCGGCGGGUUCCGGCCGUGAAACCCACCUUCUCGAAGGUACCCAAAGGUUGACCUCGGAUCAGGUAGGAAGACCCGCUGAACUUAAGCAUAUCAAUAAGCGGAG